Molecule: ribosomal RNA, 253 nt
Filed under: uncultured bacterium
Lineage: Bacteria
Description: partial 16S ribosomal RNA
Rfam family: Bacterial small subunit ribosomal RNA
Source: RNAcentral
UACGUAGGGUGCAAGCGUUAAUCGGAAUUACUGGGCGUAAAGCGUGAGCAGGCGGUUUUGUAAGUCUGACGUGAAAUCCCCGGGCUCAACCUGGGAAUUGCGUUGGAGACUGCAAGGCUAGAAUCUGGCAGAGGGGGGUAGAAUUCCACGUGUAGCAGUGAAAUGCGUAGAGAUGUGGAGGAACACCGAUGGCGAAGGCAGCCCCCUGGGUCAAGAUUGACGCUCAUGCACGAAAGCGUGGGGAGCAAACAGG